Dromaius novaehollandiae (emu) is the source of this 421-nucleotide long non-coding RNA. RefSeq lists it as uncharacterized. The record is from RefSeq and is a predicted model, not a curated record. The transcript is spliced from 4 exons. NCBI's taxonomy places the organism in Eukaryota, Metazoa, Chordata, Aves, Casuariiformes, Dromaiidae.
CCAGCUGGAGCUGCUCGCACCGCCCGCGGGGGUUCCUCCCGAUCCGGCAGCGGAAAAUGGCACCGGGGUUGGCCACGGAGCUGUUGGCAGGCCAGCUCGCUCGGGGGGCUCCCGCGACGAGCCUGGAGCUUACCGUGAGAGUUGUGGUGAAAGGAGGCUUCACCAAGGUCCAGCACCUGCAGAACAGUCAAGCCGGUUCUUGAAUGCUGAGAGUUAAGGAAGAGAUGCUGAGAACAUCAGCAGGGAGCAGUCUCUAGACACCAACGAAAGCAAACAACAAAACCACCCCCCCAAAGUCAUUUCCAUGUGCUCGAGGUCUGGGACCAGUCUCAUGAAUGAACCUGCCUCGCUCCGCUCCCCCAGCGCUUCCUGUUUGCGCCAGCGGCAGGAAGUCGUGCGACGGCGUCGCGGGUCGGUGUUU